AUCAUUUUUGAAAUUCGAAUUGGCGACAUAUAUCGGAUUUGAAAUUCAAUUGUAUUGGCGGACAAAAAAACAACGAGUUGACAGACAAAAAUGAAUAUUCCAAACAAAAUGAAAAGAUUGUGGAAAUUAUGAUAAUUCAACAUCUGGCAAAAGUUCAGGAGGAAGAUGAAAGUAUUUAGAGGAAAAGAAAAAUGAAAACCUACCAAGAUUUUGUGACAGAAAGUGUGAUGAGAUCUCAGGUUGGAAACGGUAAUGAUACGAUUAAAGUAUGCCCCAGAUCGACACAGUGGAGGAGGACGAAAGAAGAUACAUAAACAUUGCUAUUUAUAGUAAUAACAAAAUAUUCAGAAUAUUAUUCCAUAUAUUGUAACAUUCAGAUCUAGAUUCAGUUAUAAAAUACAAAGACAAAUAUACAAUCAGUGAACUGGAUAGAUGAUUGGAAAAUCCGAAAAUCAGGGUGAUCAGUUCAUGAUCAGUGGUGAUAUAAAAAAACACAUGCAUGGAUGUUUACUAUACAAAAUGUCAGUGGUAACAUUCAAGAAGGAUGUUGUGUAUCUAAUAUCUAAAACAUGCUUAUUUAAUACAUAAAGUGUUAUUAAAGUACAUACUUUCAAGUUUAAUAGUUUCAAAAAAUAUUAUGUAAAUCUUGCAUUUGUUAUCGUACCACAUUUCUUGUUUGGAACUUGUGAUUCCGAGUAUACAAAUAAAUUGCUAAAAUUAUAAGAAUGCUUAUUUGUUACCCUAUUAUGAAAGAAAAAUCGUAUUCCAAGUUUUGAAUGAGGUUAGAGUCUAAAUCAUGGUCAGAUAAGGUUGGAUUCUGGUCAAAUAAUGGUCAGAAAAGGUUGGAUUAUGGUCAGAAAAGGUCGGAUUAUGUCCAAAUAAUGGUCAGGAAAGGUUGGAUUAUGGUCAGAUAAUGGUC
Ruditapes philippinarum (Manila clam) is the source of this 919-nucleotide long non-coding RNA. RefSeq lists it as uncharacterized. NCBI's taxonomy places the organism in Eukaryota, Metazoa, Mollusca, Bivalvia, Venerida, Veneridae. The record is from RefSeq and is a predicted model, not a curated record. The transcript is spliced from 3 exons.